This 418-nucleotide long non-coding RNA is filed under the name Monodelphis domestica (gray short-tailed opossum). RNAcentral describes it as "lncRNA (ENSMODG00000038975.1)". Lineage: Eukaryota; Metazoa; Chordata; Mammalia; Didelphimorphia; Didelphidae. The record is from RNAcentral.
CCUGGACCGGGAUGGGAAGAGAAGCAGCGAUAGGGACCGUCUAGGCUUCUAGAGUCCUCUAUGCCUUUAGUCUUGGGCUCAUUCCAGACACAGAUGACUCUAAUGAAUUGGACAACAAAGGCAGAUGGUUGUGUUACUGACCUCCAUGAAGAAAUGCCCAAGUUUCCAAGAAGGAAAGCUUGGACUCUGAAGAGAGGUAGAUUGCAACCUCCUCCAGCCCCCUCUCUGAGACUGGUUCAUUUACAGAUGAGGAAACUGAGGCAAACAGAGUUAACUGACUUAUCCUGGAUCACACAGCUAGAAAGUAUCUGAAGCCAGAUUUGAACUCAUGAAGAUGUGUUCUCCUGAUUCCAAGUCCAGUGUUCUCUUCACUUCAGUGUCAUCUGUCUAUGCCCAGAACAUAGUAGGUGCUUAAUAA